AGUGAACGCUGGCGGUAGGCCUAACACAUGCAAGUCGAACGGCAGCACAGGAGAGCUUGCUCUCUGGGUGGCGAGUGGCGGACGGGUGAGGAAUACAUCGGAAUCUACUCUGUCGUGGGGGAUAACGUAGGGAAACUUACGCUAAUACCGCAUACGACCUACGGGUGAAAGCAGGGGACCUUCGGGCCUUGCGCGAUUGAAUGAGCCGAUGUCGGAUUAGCUAGUUGGCGGGAUAAAGGCCCACCAAGGCGACGAUCCGUAGCUGGUAUGAGAGGAUGAUCAGCCACACUGGAACUGAGACACGGUCCAGACUCCUACGGGAGGCAGCAGUGGGGAAUAUUGGACAAUGGGCGCAAGCCUGAUCCAGCCAUACCGCGUGGGUGAAGAAGGCCUUCGGGUUGUAAGGCCCUUUUGUUGGGAAAGAAAUCCAGCUGGCUAAUACCCGGUUGGGAUGACGGUACCCAAAGAAUAAGCACCGGCUAACUUCGUGCCAGCCGCCGCAGUAA
Molecule: ribosomal RNA, 506 nt
Filed under: uncultured bacterium
Lineage: Bacteria
Description: partial 16S ribosomal RNA
Rfam family: Bacterial small subunit ribosomal RNA
Source: RNAcentral